GGGACUUGACGGAAAAGAUGAUGGAAGUUGGAAAGAAACCGAACAAGAAGGAAAUUUUCAUAGAAAUGAUGAUAUGUUUGAAGAAGAAAGGUAUCCACCAAUUCAUGAUUAUUUUGAUCAACAAGGAUUUACACAGUCAUCAGAUAAAGCCUCACUGCUAUCUGAGACUAAUUAUGGCUUAAGAAACCAGAGAGAUUUUACUGAAGAUAUAAAUUUCAGG
Molecule: long non-coding RNA, 220 nt
Organism: Centruroides sculpturatus (bark scorpion)
Lineage: Eukaryota; Metazoa; Arthropoda; Arachnida; Scorpiones; Buthidae
Exons: 2
Source: RefSeq, a predicted model, not a curated record